Molecule: long non-coding RNA, 1410 nt
Organism: Girardinichthys multiradiatus
Lineage: Eukaryota; Metazoa; Chordata; Actinopteri; Cyprinodontiformes; Goodeidae
Exons: 2
Source: RefSeq, a predicted model, not a curated record
GGAACACACAAGACAGGUCAGGGAAAAAGUUGUAGAGACGUUUAAAGCAGGCAUAGAUUCUAAAAAGAUUUCCCAAGCUUUGAACAUUUCACUGAGCACUGUUUGGGGGGAGGGUGUUUGUAUGUCUGUGUCUAAGAGCCUCUUUGUGUCUGUUUCGGGUCCAGGAGGGAAGGUCUGUGGCUCCUCACACUUGCUAUUGCAUAUUUUUAUGGACAAACCUUAUGCACACAAGCGCACACACACAUACACCCCUGUGUUUGGAGUCAGAUGUUCUAUAUUAAGCUGCAGUUGCCACUAAAUACAACUUGCAUUCAUUAUUACCGUCCACUUUUCAGUAACUUUCUGGAUGGCCAUUUUUUUCCUUUUCGUUUCCUUCUCAGUGUCCAUUGCAACUGAAACAAUCCCAAAGCAGUUUCUAAUAAAGUUUUUUUUAUAUAUAUAUCAACCGGAGCAUUAUAGCCUUAGCUCCACGGAAAAAAACCCCCAAAAACAACAAAAUAAAAAACAGUAGCCUAGGACUUCAGCUGUUGUUUGCACUCAGUUUGUAAAUAGUUUGACCAUUAAAUGCCCUGGAGAUUAUCUGCCGUUUUAAAAAAGGUUAUGAGUUUUCUGCCAUAUUUACCAUUAAUAGAGAAAUUGAUCUGAUGAGGAAAGUGGACAUGUGUGCUUAAAAUGGCCUUGUAGGUAAUGUAGUAAAUGAAGAAAACAUAUUUAAACAUAGAUAAAACCUAGAGAUUAUAUAAUUUUUUAAAUAAUAAAAUGCUAACAUAUAACACUGCUUAAUUUUCAUUUCGCAAUAUUCUCCACUCCUUCCAACAGGUUACAGUAUUUCCUCUCAGUAAAAUAAUACAAAAAGCUGAAAUUAAGCAAACAAUAUAUUAUUUCAAUAAUAACAUUUCUGUUUAAGAGGUUUACUUUGUUCUCUGCUUUGUGUCAUUUUGCACACAGUAUGUUGACUGUUCAGCAUCAAAGGAGACCAUGACAUCAGAGCUGAUGACAUCACUUUAUGAUGCAUCAAAGAAUCUUUACCAAUAUGUGACAUCACAAAGAAUGUUUUCAGACCUGUUCCCGACUUUGUACGAUACAGAUCACUUUUGAGAGAGCAUGAUCGAAUUUUACCCAAACCAGCGAGAUCUGAAUCUGAGAUAUCAGACGCCUUUUAGAGAACGAGACCAUCUAAUAUACAGACUUGGUUGACCUCAACAUCCAAGUCGACUGUGACGCCAUUAUUUGUCUUUGUGAUGAUGUCUGCAAUGAACCAUUGAGCUGCAUCUCAACCAGCCAGAAGGUGUGACUUCCCUCUCAAAAGAGAUCCAGGGGGAACCAGUUUCUUCUGGUCACUUUGAGAGUCCAACCUCAGUCGAGGUCCAGCAGGACUUAAAUCCCUCUGCUGACUCAGAGUCUUUCAAC